CCCUUAGAUGUUCUGGGCCGCACGCGCGCUACACUGAAGGGCUCAGCGUGUCCUCCUUUCCCGAGAGGGACAGGUAAUCCGCUGAACCCCCUUCGUGGUAGGGAUCGGGGCUUGCAAUUAUUCCCCGUGAACCAGGAAUUCCCAGUAAGCGCGAGUCAUAAGCUCGCGUUGAUUACGUCCCUGCCCUUUGUACACACCGCCCGUCGCUACUACCGAUUGAACGUUUUAGUGAGGUAUUUGGAUUGGAGCGGGUCGGGGCAACCCUUCCCGUCUCCGAGAAGACUCCCAAACUUGAGCGUUUAGAGGAAGUAAAAGUCGUAACA
This 323-nucleotide ribosomal RNA is filed under the name uncultured eukaryote. Its description in RNAcentral is "partial 18S ribosomal RNA". It matches the Rfam family "Eukaryotic small subunit ribosomal RNA", at positions 1470 to 1796 of the family's 1831-position model. The record is from RNAcentral.